Molecule: ribosomal RNA, 333 nt
Filed under: Triticum aestivum (bread wheat)
Lineage: Eukaryota; Viridiplantae; Streptophyta; Magnoliopsida; Poales; Poaceae
Description: partial small subunit ribosomal RNA
Source: RNAcentral
AUGAAGACGGCUUGCUUGAUGUUGAUUGUGGUUUCGCUCGCCGUCGCCGCUCUGGGCCGUGAGCCGCCGGUGGACAGCCUCCUGCACCAGCGGGAAGCGGAGGGCGGCUGGCGGCGGGCCGCGGCCAACGAUGCAAAGCUGGUCAUCAUCAGGGGCGGACAGGGGCGAGGGCUCAGGAAAGGCGCGCCGGCCAAGUGCGUCCCGGCGGCGGCGUGCCGACGGAGGAUGAUUGUCUGCGGCAAGAGGUGCUACACGGCCAGGUCACGCCUCGUCCGCGUCCCGCCGGCCACCAAGUGCGUCAUGGUCUGCAAGAAGUGCGUGCCAACCUGCUGA